GACGAACCGAGCGAACGUUGUUCGGAAUCACUGGGCUUAAAGGGCGCGUAGGCGGGUACUCAAGUCUGUGGUGAAAUCCUCCGGCUCAACCGGAGAACUGCCAUGGAUACUGGGUGUCUCGAGGGUGGUAGGGGUAUGCGGAACUAUCGGUGGAGCGGUGAAAUGCUUAGAUAUGACACAGAACACCGAUUGCGAAGGCAGCUCACUAAACUAUAACUGACGCUGAGGCACGAAAGCGUGGGGAUCAAACAGG
This 253-nucleotide ribosomal RNA is filed under the name uncultured bacterium. Its description in RNAcentral is "partial 16S ribosomal RNA". It matches the Rfam family "Bacterial small subunit ribosomal RNA", at positions 524 to 776 of the family's 1533-position model. The record is from RNAcentral.